Non-coding RNA from Cordylochernes scorpioides, 70 nucleotides. Lineage: Eukaryota; Metazoa; Arthropoda; Arachnida; Pseudoscorpiones; Chernetidae. The record is from the annotation of a GenBank genome assembly.
UGGUGAAACACGGGUUCAAACCAGGGACAUUUAGAUCUUCAGUUUAAAGCUUUCGCAGCUGAGCUCUUCC